Molecule: ribosomal RNA, 519 nt
Filed under: uncultured Actinomycetes bacterium
Lineage: Bacteria; Bacillati; Actinomycetota; Actinomycetes
Description: bacterial SSU rRNA
Rfam family: Bacterial small subunit ribosomal RNA
Source: RNAcentral
CCAGGAAUCUUGGGCAAUGGGCGCAAGCCUGACCCAGCAACACCGUGUGGGCGAUGAAGGCCUUCGGGUCGUAAAGCCCUGUUGAUAGGGACGAAGGGCGAAGGGUUAAUAGCCCCUAGCCUGACGGUACCUUUCGAGGAAGCCCCGGCUAACUACGUGCCAGCAGCCGCGGUAAUACGUAGGGGGCGAGCGUUGUCCGGAAUUAUUGGGCGUAAAGAGCGUGUAGGCUGUUCGGUAAGUCUGCCGUGAAAACCUGAGGCUCAACCUCGGGCGUGCGGUGGAUACUGCCGGGCUAGAGGACGGUAGAGGCGAGUGGAAUUCCCGGUGUAGCGGUGAAAUGCGCAGAUAUCGGGAGGAACACCAGUAGCGAAGGCGGCUCGCUGGGCCGUUCCUGACGCUGAGACGCGAAAGCUAGGGGAGCGAACAGGAUUAGAUACCCUGGUAGUCCUAGCCGUAAACGAUGGACACUAGGUGUGGGGGAGUCGAAUCCCUCUGUGCCGCAGUUAACGCGUUAAGUCG